GACGGUUGAUUGGAGGAUCUACGGCGGUCUUCUUCGCGAUCGACGGCGGUGAUCGAUGGUCGAUUGAAGGAUCAAUGGUGGUCCAUUGGGGAUCUUCGGCGGGCUCGACCACUAAUAAGUCAUAAGAAUCGAUCAGAUAUUAUUGGUGUCAAUUUCUUUGAUAUGUUAUAUAGUCUAAACAAGGUGCAGUGCCUAUUCCGAGUUCGUUUAGGCAUUUUCUCCUGGCAGGAGUAGUGAUGGCCCUUUCAGGCGAUGAUGAAGUGAUUGUGUGAAGGAAAACACCUGGAUAAUUAUUGUUUUUAUGUGGAUAUACAGUGUGAUGUAAUUAUGUCGUUUUUUGUGGUAUUAAUGUCUGAAAAUAAAUGUAUUUCGUAUGCGAUGAUGUGGAAGAUAGCUAGGGAAUAUUGGAUAUGGUGAUUUUGGCGUGAACAACAACUUAGAUGGUGUGUUGCGACGUUGAUUCAGACAAUGUUUCUCUUUUUUGAGUUGAUCCAUUCAUUGAACAAUUUGAGUCAUUUUAUUUUAUUUUUAGACAUUCUCAGCCAUCUAGUCAUUCAGCUUUCAGACAUUUCUACCUCUAAUAUAUUAAAGCAUCAGUUUCAACGGU
Molecule: long non-coding RNA, 607 nt
Organism: Zea mays
Lineage: Eukaryota; Viridiplantae; Streptophyta; Magnoliopsida; Poales; Poaceae
Exons: 2
Source: RefSeq, a predicted model, not a curated record